RNAcentral lists this long non-coding RNA (252 nucleotides) under Ananas comosus (pineapple). Its description in RNAcentral is "long non-coding RNA (ACOM_LNC011303)". The record is from RNAcentral. Lineage: Eukaryota; Viridiplantae; Streptophyta; Magnoliopsida; Poales; Bromeliaceae.
AAAUAGUCAUUGAACAUCAAGAUUCUGCACCGACCGUCCCUAGUACAAGUGGCAAAUGGCUUGGUGGUUGGUACCCGAGAUCUCAAGUUCGAAUCCUUAAUUGAUUCACUUAAUUGAUUCACAUUUCUAGCUAAGUUUAUUUCUAGAUGAAAUAAAUGAGAAUCGGAUAGCGUGCUAUCUAUUUCUCAAAAAAAAGUUAAAAAAAAAUCAAGAUCUUGCUCCUAGUCUUAAUUAUCUCAACCUACUUAAACU